UUGAAAGGGAAACGAUUGAAGUCAGUCAUGCUAAUAGGGAAUCAACUUGAUGGUUCGUUCCUCUGGGAGCGAUCUUUCUUGUGCACUUCCUUGUUCGGCAGGUUAGCAUCAAUUUCGGUUGUCAUCAAAAAAUUGAGGGAAUGUGACUUCCUUUGGGAAGUGUUAUAGACCUUAAUAUAUGUGGUGACCGGGAUUGAGGAUUGCAGCGGAUGCUUUUAAGGCUAGUCACCUACCUUCUGACGGUUACCCUGCUUUUGAUAGCUUGCUAACGAAUGUGGGAUUUAACAGUUUUAGAUGUUGGAGUGAUCUUAUAUUCGCUAAGGAUGCUGACGUAAUGGCUUUAAACGACCCGUCUUGAAACACGGACCA
This 369-nucleotide ribosomal RNA is filed under the name Glomeromycotina sp. Its description in RNAcentral is "partial large subunit ribosomal RNA". Lineage: Eukaryota; Fungi; Glomeromycota. The record is from RNAcentral.